ACUCAAAGGAAUUGACGGGGGCCCGCACAAGCGGCGGAGCGUGUGGUUUAAUUCGAUGCAACGCGAAGAACCUUACCAGGGUUUGACAUGCUAGUGGUACGGAUCUGAAAAGUGAAGGACCCUUCGGGGAGCUAGUGCAGGUGCUGCAUGGCUGUCGUCAGCUCGUGCCGUGAGGUGUUGGGUUAAGUCCCGCAACGAGCGCAACCCUCGCCGUCAGUUAAAUCUCUCUGACGGGACCGCUGGGAUAAACCCAGAGGAAGGUGGGGACGACGUCAAGUCAGCAUGGCCCUUACACCCUGGGCUACACACACGCUACAAUGGCCGGCACAAUGGGUUGCCAAGGCGCGAGCCGGAGCUAAUCCUCCAAAACCGGCCCCAGUUCAGAUUGCAGGCUGCAACUCGCCUGCAUGAAGGCGGAGUCGCUAGUAACCGCAGGUCAGCACACUGCGGUGAAUACGUUCCCGGGCCUUGUACACACCGCCCGU
This 485-nucleotide ribosomal RNA is filed under the name uncultured bacterium. RNAcentral's name for it is "partial 16S ribosomal RNA". It matches the Rfam family "Bacterial small subunit ribosomal RNA", at positions 899 to 1397 of the family's 1533-position model. The record is from RNAcentral.